Molecule: ribosomal RNA, 866 nt
Filed under: uncultured bacterium
Lineage: Bacteria
Description: bacterial SSU rRNA
Rfam family: Bacterial small subunit ribosomal RNA
Source: RNAcentral
AGAGUUUGAUCAUGGCUCAGGAUGAACGCUGGCGGUGUGCUUUAGGCAUGCAAGUCGAGCGGAACCAGCAAUGGUUCAGCGGCAGACGGGUGAGUAACACGUAGGAAUCUACCUCAAAGUGGGGAAUAGCUGCCCGAAAGGGCAGGUAAUACCGCAUGUGAUCGCAAGAUCAAAGCAGCAAUGCGCUUUGAGAGGAGCCUGCGAGCUAUCAGCUUGUUGGUGGGGUAACGGCCUACCAAGGCUACGACGGCUAGCCGAUGUGAGAGCAUGAUCGGCCACAAGGCUACUGAGACACGGAGCCUACACCUACGGGUGGCAGCAACCGGGAAUUUUGCGCAAUGGACGAAAGUCUGACGCAGCGACACCGCGUGUGGGAAGACGCUUUUCGGAGUGUAAACCACUGUGGCGAGGGAACAAAUUUUGAGGGUACCUCGCUAGAAAGCACUAGCUAACCACGUGCCAGAAGCUUCGGUAAUACGUGGAGUGCAAGCGUUAUCCGGAUUUACUGGGCGUAAAGCGUACCGUCGGUGAUCUGAUAAGUUUCUUGUUUAAGCCCGAGGCUCAACUUCGGAAAAGCAAGAAAAACUAUCAGAAUUGAGUCUGUUCGGGGAAGCUGGAAUUCUCGGUGGAGGGGUGAAAUCCGUAGAUAUCGAGAGGAACGCCAUACGCGAAGGCAAGCUUCUAGGACACGACUGACACUCAGGGACGAAAGCUUGGGUAGCAAAGCGGAUUAGAGACCCGUGUAGUCCAAGCCGUAAACACUCCUUGCUAGCUGUUCCCGCUCUGCGGGGAUGGCGUAAGCUAACGCGUUAAGCAAGGCGCCUGGGGAGUACGACCGCAAGGGUUAAAACUCAAGGAAUUGACGG